Rhincodon typus (whale shark) is the source of this 1159-nucleotide long non-coding RNA. RefSeq lists it as uncharacterized. The transcript is spliced from 5 exons. Lineage: Eukaryota; Metazoa; Chordata; Chondrichthyes; Orectolobiformes; Rhincodontidae. The record is from RefSeq and is a predicted model, not a curated record.
AGGCCUCAUUCCUCCAAAGACACCCUUCCAUUGGCUACUCCAGCCGUCCUUCCUCACUGUCGCCAUCUGCUGCUGGAGGUCCUGUUGCAACUACAUUAAUGUGGCAUCGCUGGCUGGGUCAGCUUUCACUGUACAUCCCUAAUUGCCUUGAGAAGGUAGUGAAGCCUCCACGCUGCUAUCCGUGUGAGUCCCCAAUCAACCCGUAUGAACUCAAAAGUUGAUGAGCUAUCUCUGCAGCAGCUGUUGGGCUUGUUGUGAGCACAGAUGGCCGAAUCAAAGGGGAAUGGUGACAAGAAGACAGAAGCUAAGAAAGAGCACAACCUGACAGAAGAAAUUAAGGAACCCUUCUUGACUGAGUUAGUUACCAGAUGGACCCAGCUCUAUGAUCGACGUACUGGCGAACAUGUAAAAACAGAAUGGGUUAAAUUGGCAAAGGCAGUGAAUGAAAAGGCUAAAAAAGACGAUAAAAUUUACACAGCAGAAUGGUACAUCCAAAAAUCUGAUAAAAUCACAAUUUCUGAUUUGAGACUAAAUUACUGGAGAAUCAGAGGAUGGCUGCACUUGUUCCCGGGAGUUCAGGCAUUGACCCCAUAUGUCCAAAUCCAGAGCUCUUUCAGGACAUGGCUUCCAAGCUGUCUCGAAGAGUGGCGCUAACUAUCCUUGACCCCAAUUAUAUGUUUCAUGCUAUGACAAUUUCCAAGGGUGCAGAUGAAGACAAGAAAUAAAGUGCAGCUGAUCAGAUCUUCAUGCCUGUCCUCACCUUUGGUGCAGAGGGGCAGAUGAAAGAGAUUCUUACUUUUAAUCUCAGUCUCUUCUGACUUCUCCCUAUUUUAGGGACGGUUCCAUCAGUCACUGUCAUAGAUCACUUAUUGGCCAACUACUGGAUUUCUGAAAUGUUACACUUGCUAAAUCAAAAUAUUUUAAUUCAAAGUUGGUAAAUUCUUUUCAAAAGUCUCUAUCAGAUUAACAUGGGUGUGGAAAAGGGUUACCAAUGUUUAUUUGUAAUUAUUAAAAGUUUAUUGGAAGUGAUUUUAUCAUGAAAAAUUGCUUGCAAUUAAGACAUCUCUCUGUUUGGAAAUUCAAACAGUCUAUAAUUUUCUUGAAACAACUAACUAUUGCUUUACCUUUAACAUAAACUUUGAAAUUUGUAAUGAUUGCA